This 497-nucleotide ribosomal RNA is filed under the name uncultured bacterium. Its description in RNAcentral is "partial 16S ribosomal RNA". It matches the Rfam family "Bacterial small subunit ribosomal RNA", at positions 28 to 507 of the family's 1533-position model. The record is from RNAcentral.
GAUGAACGCUGGCGGCGUGCCUAAUACAUGCAAGUCGAGCGAACAGACGAGGAGCUUGCUCCUCUGACGUUAGCGGCGGACGGGUGAGUAACACGUGGAUAACCUACCUAUAAGACUGGGAUAACUUCGGGAAACCGGAGCUAAUACCGGAUAAUAUAUUGAACCGCAUGGUUCAAUAGUGAAAGACGGUUUUGCUGUCACUUAUAGCUGGUUCCGAGCCGUAUUAGCUAGUUGGUACGGUCACGGCUUACCAAGGCAACGAUGCGUAGCCGACCUGAGAGGGGGGUCGGCCACACUGGAACUGAGACACGGUCCAGACUCCUACGGGAGGCAGCAGUAGGGAAUGUGCGGCAAUGGGCGAAAGCCUGACGGAGCAACGCCGCGUGAGUGAUGAAGGUCUUCGGAGCGUAAAACUCGGUUAUUAGGGAAGAACAAAUGUGUAAGUAACUAUGCACGGCUUGACGGUAACUAAUCAGAAAGCCACGGCUAACUACGUG